GAGUGCCGUGAGCCGCGCCGCCGGGUUAGCCGCUGUCCUGAUGCGCUCGCUUCUCGAGCGGUGGCAGAAGUCGCGCCUCGGUCGGCUUUCGUGUGGAACAGCCUGAGCUCUGCUGACUUCUUUUUUUUAGUACCUGGGAUCGAACUCGGGACCUUACUCUUACGAGGCAGGCGGCGGUACCGCUGAGCUACGUCCCCUGUCCUCUGCUAUUAUAAACCAGAAACUGGGCGGAGCGAGCGUGAGCCAAGUCCCGAGCUGUAGUCAGAGGACCCAAAGAAACAGACGUCGCGUGUCCCUCGUCCCGCUGCCUUCCCGGGGGUUAGGUCACGCCUCCCGCCCUCCAGGCUCUCUAGGUGCCAGGGCUGCCUCGGCUUCUUGAAAAGCAGAGCUUCACUUGUCUGCUUCGGUUUGCCCCCCCCACACACACACACCAGACAUCUUUCUCCUCACGAAAGUGUUCCCUGGAUGAGGACGUUCAUAAAUCCCUGUCGCCAUUAUGUAUACCAUGUUCACUGUCCCCCCCCCCCAGAAUUGGGGGUUCCAACAACCAUCUGCUUAUGGAGGACCCGCCUAAGCGAGUACCUUCUGAGCAGACGCAUUUGAGGAUACAACAUCACAAGCCAAAAUGCCAAGAGUGUUGAACCUGAAUUUGAUCAAGAGGAAACAAUCAGACAUCUCCAGUUGUAUAACAUAAAUGUAGAGUUGGAAGCACACUUGGGGAUAUUUUGAUUAUGAGGCCGAAACCUACAUGACAGUGAUGAUGUAAGAGAAAGAUGAUCGUCAUCAGCCUUCUUCCUGUCUUUUUGUUGCAUAGCAUAAAUAAACUACGUGUUUGUUUAAAGUAUUCUUA
Fukomys damarensis (Damara mole-rat) is the source of this 850-nucleotide long non-coding RNA. RefSeq lists it as uncharacterized. Lineage: Eukaryota; Metazoa; Chordata; Mammalia; Rodentia; Bathyergidae. The record is from RefSeq and is a predicted model, not a curated record. The transcript is spliced from 3 exons.